Molecule: long non-coding RNA, 35815 nt
Filed under: Zostera marina
Lineage: Eukaryota; Viridiplantae; Streptophyta; Magnoliopsida; Alismatales; Zosteraceae
Description: long non-coding RNA (ZMAR_LNC005738)
Source: RNAcentral
AACGAGGCGCGCCCCAGACGUCGUCCCGUGAAGGCAGACCCACGGCCCGGAUGAACGUGGUCGCGAUCGCGGACGUCCCCCAGACAGGCUUAACGGGCCGGCUUCGAGGACCCCGACAGGAAGUGACGCAGGUCAUUAGCCGGGAGGGACGAAGACCCACGGGAACGACGAGAACCGCGCGGCCGACGACGCCUUGGCAGAGGAUCAGGGUCGGCGGCAGGAGCGGCGAUCGUACCGUGCGCACGGAAAGCACGCGAGGUGCCAGCAGAACGCGAGGUAUCAGGGUAGGUGACGGGAGGAAGUUCCGCGAGAAUGUCGGAGCGGCGAAUCUGGGAGAGACGACGGUGGACGUCGAUCAACACGGCGUUGAGGCGCUGAGUCUCGGCCACGGCCCAACUAUUGGGAACACCAGCAGGCGACAACAGACACUGGGCCCAGGUGGCAUGCUGAAGCUGCACUUCGCGACCAUACUCCUCGAGGAUAUCUCGAACACUCAUAGCGGAAAGGAAAGGUGAUGCAAAAGAUAGGAGACCCAAGCAGCCUAUUUAUAGGAAAGGAGAAGGAGGAUGGGCCCGAGAACCGAGGAGCAUUAAUGAAAAUGGGUGGGGGCGAAAGGGGGGCGGACGGCCCCGGGCCCCUGGCCCGCCGAGGAAGGGGGGGAGUACUGUUGGUACCAUGGACCGCGGCCCAUGGACCGAACCGGCCCGGUCGGCAGCCCAGACGGACGGACGGGCCCGACGUACGAGCCCACGAGGCCCAAGGACAGCAAGUGAAGGCUAUAAAUACUUCCCCUGGUCCAACUGGGGAGGGGGUUGAUAAUUCUGAGAGAGAGAGAGAGAGACACUUAUACUAGGUUGGACGGUGAGCUUGCUUCGGCGAACCCUCACACCAACAACAGGUUUGUAAAUUAUAUAGUUUAAUAUUUAUUUUAAAUUUUGUUAGACUUUAAUUGUGACCUCUUCUAUUCACAGACACGAAAUAUAUAACUUCAAAUUUAUUUUUUCUCGAAAUAUUUCAUAUUCAAGAGGUACUACUUAAAGAAUCAAAGAAAGUAGAUAAUUUUAUUAAUAAUAAGGCAAAAAUUAUAUUGGUGAAGUUUGAAAAGUAUUGGAAAAUUUUUAGCCGAAUCCUUGGUAUGUUUAAAUUUAAAUGUUAAUUAAUAAAUCUAAGACUCUCUUAUAUAGUUUAUUACAUGUAUGAAUUUUUAUUUACAAGUUUUGCCACGGUAAUGGAUCCAAGAUACAAACUGAAUUUCAUUGAAUAUUGCAAUAACAAAACCGAUGGUCCAGACUCCACCAAAUUUAUUAAUUUUAAAGAUAAACUUUUUGAUUUAUAUAAUGAAUAUGCCAAAAAAAUGUCUAUUUCAAAUUCAUCAAUUGAAAUUUCAUCAGUUUAAACUCAAUCAACUAGUAGGAGACAAACAAGGGCAUUUUUUCAGGUAACAUAUAUUAGUUUCUAAUUCAAGUAACUAAUAUAUACUUGUAGGAAUUUAAUGAUGCAACUGAAGUGGACUAAAGAAUGGGAAAAACUUGUUUGGAGAUGUAUUUAGAAGAACCUAGAGUGAGUGCAGUUAUUCAUUUAGAUGUUCUUAGUUAUUGGAAAGCAAAUCGGUGCAGGUAUCCAGUAAUGGCAAGUAUGGCACGUGAUUUGUUGACUAUUCCUAUUACAACUAGGAAUCAUCAUUUAGCAUUAGUGGUCAAAUACUUGAUAAAUAUCGUAAUUGUCUUCUGUCAUCAAAUUUAGAAGCACCAAUAUGCACUCGAGAUUGAUUAUUUGUUAAUCAAGAUUCAAACCAGACAACAAUGGAGAAUUUAACGAUGGAUGUGCUAGAUGAUGAGGUAAAUAUAUUUUUAAUUAUUUAUUAAUAUAUUUUACUGUUUUACUAUUUAUUAAUUAUUUAUUAAUAUAUUUUUAAUUUUGCAGGUUGUUGACUUUUGACUUAGAUCCUGAAAACAAUCUUAAAUUAAUUUAAGAUUUUAAUUAAAUUUUGUAUAUGACUUUAAAAAAUUCUAUUUUUUAACAUUAAUUAAUUUUAAUUUUAUUAUUUAAAAAUCGUGUCGUGUCAAUCGUGUUAUGUUCCUACCGUGUUCAUAUCGUGUCGACACGAAUUUUAUGUCGUGUCAGUCGUGUCAUGUUCGUGUUAAAUUUUUUUGACACGGGUCGUGUUCGUGUCGACGAAGAAAAUAAUCGUGUAAGUCGUAUUCGCACUACAAAAAACCAACGUAUUUCUGACGGCAACUUCCUGGCGGCCUGGCCGCCGGAAAAUAACACUAGUCCGCCGAUACAAUUUCCCCCGCUUAAAUGUGAGAAAUGAGCUGACGGUCAGGCCGCCGGGACCUUUUUUUAUUAAGUUUUUGACGGCCUGGCCGUCGGCUCAAAUUUUCCCCAUGUAAAUGUGAGAAAUGAGCUGGCGGCCAGGCCGCCUUUUUUUGUUAAGUUACCGGCGGCCAGGCCGCCAGCUCAAAUUUUCCUCAUGUAAUUAUGAGAAAUUUGCUGGCAGCCAGGCCGUCGGGCUAAACUAAUUUUCUCACUAAAUUUCGCUAUUGUUUUCCCGCUAAUUUUUCAACAAUUUUGGGAAACCCUAAUAUAUUUUAAAUUAAAAAAAUUAAUAAAAAUAAAUUUAUAUACAUAUCUAGAUAGUUAGUGUUAGGAUUAUAAGUUAGGGUUAGAAGAAGUUCGAUUAUAAUAAAUAGUGUUAAUUAGUGAUAUAUAUAGUGUUAGGGUUUUUUAUAAAUUAACUUUAUUUUAAAUCAUAAAAAUUAUAGAUUAAAGUUAUUUUGGAUAUUUUAAAGAAGUUAUUUUAAUUUUAAAGUUAUAAAUUCAAUUAUAAAAUCUUAUUUUCGGGUUUUAUGGCCGAAAAUAUCGACCCAAACCCGGACCCGACAUGUUCGGGUUUAACCCGACCCACGCCCACUCCCAUUUAGUAGGUUAGUCUAAUUUAAUAAAUUUUAAAUUCGAAAAAUUCAAUUUAAUAAAACUUAUAAAAUAACUUUAUUUUAAAUUAUAAAAAUUAAAGAAAUUAACAAAAUUAAUAAAAUUUAAAUAAAUUAACUUAUUAAUGUCAGGCCUACCUUUAACAAUCAAUUGAUGUAUGAGAUGUCAACAUGGAACACCGCUAUAUUCAAAUCUAUAACAAAUGCAUCUUAAUAUAUUUGAGUCUUUGGUAAGGGUCAACUUAUGAACUACCUUUUGCAUUUUUAAAGAUAAAACUGGUAAAAAAAACUAUUCCCUGAUAUAAGAAAUGACAGAGAAGAAAAUAAAAUAAAAUAAAAUAAAACAUUAAAAAAAAAUUACAAUGGUCAUAUGUAAAAUUAUACCUCACUCGAAAGUCCGUCGCUGAAAGUAUAUGAUAGAAAAUACUUUUCUACAUCUUUUUUUGAAAUAAAAGAAAAAUAACGUUUGUAUAAAAUUUCAAAGCAUCAAUCUCAAUUUUCAUAGACGUAAUAUAUUUUGGAUGCCAAAAGAUGUCUUUAUGAUCGUUCAAAUUCUCAGUCUUUUGGAUUGAAUUUAUCAUAUUUUCAUAACGACGAACAAAUUGAAAGAGUAAAUUUUUUACAGUAACCCUAGUUUUGAUAAAUGAAUUCAUACCCUCGCUCCUUUGGGUUGAAUGCAUACCAGCGAAGAAAUGUUCACACAUCAAACAUGGAACCCACGACUUUCGAAUUUCAUAUAAUAUUUUCAACAAAACGUUUGACAACAAAUGAUUGUUGUUCAACCGUAGCGCCCAAGCUUCCUCAAAAUCAUCUGGAGUUUCAGAAUACUUAAUAAUUUGAUAAAAUAAAUUUAAGGCAUUGAUGUCGCGGCAUACAGUGGGCACUUUAGUUGACAACUUAUUGAUGAUAUGCCAUCGGCAAAGUCGGUGAAAUGUUGAGGGAAAAGUAAUUGCAACGGCACCCUUCAUUGCAAUAUCUUGAUCAGUAAUUAUAGAUUUUGAAGCAGUCCCCAUACACUCAACGAAGGUUUUAAACAACCAGGUAAAUACAUCGACGUUCUCGUUACUAAUAUGAAAAAAACAUCAGGUUAUUUAUUUGAAAAAAAUAUACAUCAGGAUAUAAUAAAGUAGCAUUCAUAAUUUAACAAUAAUCAUUAAUAUAAGGAAAUGUUACCUCACGAAUGAACUUACAAAAAUAACAGUCUUUCUAUGAUGAUUGACUACAUAAAAUAUUCCAAAUAUCAAAGAAUAAACGUUCGUCUUAUAAGUGGUGUCAAAUGUAACUGAAUCUCCGAAUAAUUUAAAAUGUUGAAUCAUUAUAGAAUCAACCUAAAAAACAUGUUUCGAUCGUCCAAUCGAAUCCUUGAUAAUGAAAUAAAAGAAAUCUGGUUGAACAAACUUUUUCAUUUCAAAUUCCUCGACCAAUAGAUCAACGUCAUAGUUUUUCAAAUCGACACGAUCGUCGCGACUCAUAUUUGAUAUAUCCAAUUGAGUACAUCCAUAUGCUCGAUUCCACCGACUUAAGAAGAAAAAUAAACAGUUUGCUGAGAAACGGGUACGUUGACAUCACUAAGAGAAUUGAAAAGUAAUCUGUAGGUAGAGAAUAUUAAACGGUUUAUUGGAAGGUACCUUAAUUUUGAUAGUAUGGUGAAGGGAUGAUUGUGCUUUAAAACAAUAUUUUUAAUAAUCCAUUUUCAGACAUAGCAUCUCUCUUUAAUUUAAUGCUUGCACAACAACUACACCUUUAAACUGCAUUAUAACGAUGCUUGCUUACUUUAACAGAAUGUAAUAGGUCGGCAUUUCCUUUUUUCGAACACAACAAUCGUCGCAUAACUAAUGUAUUUUUACCAUCAACCUUAGUAGUAGAGUUUGUAGAAACCAAAUGAACAGAAAAAUCGACUUUCGACGCAUAACCAUAAUAUUUCUCAACAGCUUCUGAAUAUAAAGAAAAAAGUUGACCAACAAAGGGUGGUGAAUUCACAUUAACAUUGUCUGAAGAAGCUUUGGUAUUAUUGGGUUGUUUGGGAAUGAAAAAACUAGGAGAAAUAUUGUCGGUACAAUUAUUAGCAUUAGGGAGUACAAUUACAUCAUUAUUCUCAUAAGAAAUAAGUGUCUGACGAAUGUCUGAUGGAGUUUCAUGAAAAUGAUUAGAACCAUAAAUAGUAUUGGGACUGACAGAGCAUUAUCAUUCAACAUUAUCAUAAGUAGCAUUGGGAAUACAAUCAAAUGUUUUUUCAGAUUGGAUAGAAUAAAAAUCAAGACUCACAUUACACUGUGGUCUGGAACGUUCUAUCGAUGGAUUCAAUGGUUGGGCAUGAAUGAGACGAUAUGGGGGUGGUGUGAUAUAUAUUGAGGAAGAAUUAUGAGAGAAAUGAAUAGUGUUUUGAGGCUCAAUGUUAUGUUGUGGUAAGGGUGAUGAUUGAUCAAUAACAUUUAAUGAAUUUUGAGACAUACCUUGAUGUUAUAAAUAGAUAUAACCAAAGAAGAAAUAAACCAAAAAACGUAGCAUAGAUUAAGGGGAGAAAAAUGUGAUGAGGAUGAAAUGCUCUGUGAAUAACUUGAUAUGGGAAGAAGGUGAAAGAUGAGUAAAGAAUGAAAUGAAAAAAGAGGUAAGAUAAGAAGAUAAAACUCUAACAUGAUUUGACAUAUUUUUAAAAUUUUAGCAUUAACGGUAGAAAAGGAAGGAUUAUAUUACUGCGGUAUAAGUAUCGUUAGACGAAACAUCAAUAAAAAGACGAUAAAGACCUAAAGGUAAAAGAAGAUGGAUGAUGAAUGUCAAAAAUAUUUAAUUAUGACAAGAUGAUGACAAAAAAACAAGAGGUAAAGACAAAAAAAAAGAUAGAGAGAGAGAGAAACAUAAAAAUUAAAAUUAAAAAAAAUAAAAAUAAAAUAACUACACGUGGGUUUGCAAACGGACACAACCCACAUGUUGCGCAAAAAAUUUCACUGGUUGCAACCGGUGAAACACGAAGGGUUGGGAUUUUUUAAAGAAAUUUGGAAGGCUGGGAUGCCUUCUCAUUGUCAGAAAAUGAGAAGACAUUCUUAACUGAUUUUUUUUGUAUAUUUUUUUUUGUUAUUUCCAUAAUUCAUCAAUCCGUCCAUAAAAAAAUCUAGAAAUAAAUGAUUAUAUAUUAUCGUAUCUUGAAUGCGUCGUAGUGUGUUAUCAAAUCGUAUCUAUUAAUAUUUAAUCCAAUAACUAAAAAACACUAACACAUGUAUGAAUUAAAAUAAUAUACUGUAAAAUAUAUUAACACAUGUACAAUACAAAGUCGAUUUAAUAAACAUGAUUAAUUUGACGUAUUUUGUGGUAUUUUGACCUCUACUUGAUAAUUACUCUCUAUAUAAAAAGAAUCAAAGAAUGGACGGUGAAGAUUUCAAUUGGGAAAUAGAAAUUAAAUAUACAUCUCAAUAUCUCAUGCACAGUGCACAUGAGAUGUUAAAUUGUUAAUAUUUCCAAAAUUAAACUAACCCAUCUCUUAUUCUCUUUACUAAUAUUGUCCAAUUAGACCAAAAUACCAACCCAACAGCUCGGCCCAAAAGGAGAAACUAAUCCUUUGACUAAUAAAAUAAGUCCAUUUAGAAUUUUAGAUGACUAUAAAAAAAUACAAAAAAAAAAAAAAAAAAAUUAUGAUGUAUGUAAAAAUUGAAACAAUGGACGGUCAUGAUUUCACACAGUGCACCACAGCACAUGUACAAUAUAAAAAGAGUAAUGACUGGGUGUCUCUGGGACCCACAAACUUCACAUUUUAAAACACCAUGUGAACACGAACACCACCAUUAACCUUUAAAAAUUUAAUAAUAAUAAUUAAUAAUAGAAAUUGUGACAAAUUGCAACUAAGUCCUCUACUAGUGUGUAAAAAAAUCGUAACAAUACCGGGCAAGUCGGCAGAAGGUUGUUAGUUUUGGGCAGUAAGAUGGGAAAAUACGAGUUCAUUCCAAGCAUCAGGGACUCCAGGAAGACACCAGUGACUACAAUCAACAACCAGUGGCGAAUAACUCCAAUUCCCUAUGUGUGCGUCACUCCGAUAAGCGCCCAUCGAAGUCACGUUUAGAACCGUCGCCGGCACCAUCAUCGAUGUGAUUACGUCCGAAAUGAUCCCGGAAAACUCCUCGCUCUGAUCAUUCCCUUUCGGAUCUUUCAUUGGUUGUUCCGUUACGUCGCAAACCUUCCCCCCUCCUUCUUCACUGCUCAAAAUAAAUCACAACAGAAUUAGUACAAGAUCCAAAAUUCUUAUAGCUACUGAUCUACGGACCGGGCCAGUCGAAACGGCCCAGCCCAACCCAACCCACUACGAAAGUACGUUAGUACCUCCAAUGGGAAGGUUCAAAGGUACGGAAGAAAACGUGGGUGCGAGUGGUGUUGACCGUUGACUUAACCCACGAAGCCCACGUCUGAAGCAUAGUUCGGAAAGCGGUCGUAAUGGGUAGGCCGAGCUUGAGUGAUUCGCCGACUUGGAAAUAACAACCACUGUGGGGAAAUUACAAAAAAGACCUUAGAUGGAUUAAAAAGAAAAAGAAAAUAGUAAGGGCAAUUUAAUAAUUUUAUAUAAUAGAAAAUUUUCACGUACGUGUAAAAGAGUUUCUUGUAAGUCCACCAGUGACCGGAGUUGAAAAUAAGGAUAUCGGAAUUGACCCAACUCUUACUGACAUCAUCCAAUUGAUCCAGUUUGAUAGUGGACCGGACUCGUUUGGGCCCACGGUUGGUGGGAGUUGAAACGCCUUGUUGGAGAAGGUAAACCGACCGAAAAAACUCCACCGUCAGAUUAAACGUCUGAAAUCGGACGCUCAGAAAACGGAUCGUCUUUGAGAUUCCGUUGCCGUUCACCUCGUAAACAGAUCUAGGAUCUUCAACUCCGAUCAUCAGCAUACAGAUCAUGGAUUCCCACUGCGUUCUGCUCAUAGAAUCUCCAACGAACACGACUCUUUUGCCGCGGAGCUUCUCCAGCACCGCGGUGGCGUUGAAUUGAGGUAUGUCGCAACCGUGAGGUUUCCAUCUCAAUCUCAUGUAAUCCGUGUCUUUCCUUCCAUUCUUCAGGCAGUUGAACCCUCGCUCAGUAAAGGGACAGGUUGAGCUGUUGUAGAGAGGAUGAGCGUUUGAGAAGAUCCAACUUCCAUCGAAUAUAUCACAGUCGGCGACGGUGCUGACGUUUUCCGCCAAAACGAUUGGAUUAUUCCGACGAUCGGAGUCAGAUUUCGAGUCGAAUAACGAGUUGGUUUGGAUGAGAUUCCGAUAAAAGCAUAGAUAGAGUAAAGAACAGAUUACGAAAAUGAAUGAGGCGACAAGUAAAGUAACAGAUAUCACGGAGACAUAUCCGGCAUGAGACCAGAUUGGGUGUUUCCGGUGCAGACCAGAAGAUCCUCCUCCUCUAGGGCUACUGAAGUUCGGAGUUGUUCUCCGUGACGAUGACGAAGGCGUCCGACAGAGAGUUCCAUUCACCAUCUUCGCUUCAUUUUCUCCAAUCCACCGCCACCGCAAGAUUCAAAGACGUUGUCAGCGAAUCUGCGAAGAUCGGAGGUGAAGACUGAGACGGCCGGCUGUCGGCUAUCGACUGUCGGCGAUGGGUUAAAUAGAUCAGAUAACACCCGAUUAGAAAGAUUGUGUGGAGACUGGAAUGAGAGUUGCUGUGUCGUGAAGAAAGACGUGGUCGAAUCUUCUUCGUUUUUUUAUAUAUUUUUUAAUCCAGAGAGGGUUUGAAUAUUGAAACAUUUGGGUUGUUUGAUUGAUUGAUUGAUUGAUGUCGCCGAACAUAUCAGUUGGUGGAAGCUUUUAGUAAUAACACGUGGCAAAUGAUCAUUGGUUGAAGAAGAAAAAUUAAAUUUAUUUCCUUCUUAUUAUAAACAAAUUAGUAUUUAAUCACCAUGAUGAGUUUAAUGACAUGAUCUGAUGAUUCCGUGAGUCAUGACCUUGAUUUUCUAAUCUUUUUACUUCCAAACUCCUCCCCGCCCACAGAAAUCAGAUAAAUUAACCGUCACAAGUAUAAAGAUUUACCUUAGGUAUACCAGAAUCACCUAGUAAGUCUAUGAUACAGUAACUAGAGAUUUGGAUAGCCUAAGGUGAAUAGAGGUGUACCUAUAUAGGUUGGGAGAGGUUUCAAGUCAACUCAUGUGAAUGUCUACUUUAUAUUAGGUAGUUACGAUCAAAAUGAUCAGAUUACCCCUAUGAAAAGUCUUAUAAAUAAAGAGUCACCCUCAUUCAUUCGAGCAGGUUGAUUCCAGCAAGAGAAGUCCUAACGAAGCAGAGCCAGAGCAACUGAGGAGUUCGAGUUGAUUUCCCCGUAGAGUUUUUCGUUUGACGCUUGUUUGAAACGUCGUCGAGCACUGAUCGGAUUCUAUCCUAAUCAAAAACCCUACAUUUUCAACAACGUUAAUAGUUACUAUAUAACCGAGCUAAUCUCCCUGUCAUUUUAGUGUUGUUGUCAACCGACAAAACUCUGAAGUAUUAAGUCGAUUAUAACUAAAGGAAUCUUUUUACAAGUAGAAAAACUUAUGUCUGAGUGAUAUACCAGAGUCACAUUAUGAAUCACUGAUUAAAUCGUAGUGAAAAUCCGUACACAGCGAGAAUAAAAUUUUAAACUCUCAACAACGUUAAUAGUUAUUGUGAUCCAUUGAGCUAAUCUUUCUGUCAUUUUAAUGUUGUUGUCAACUACCAGAAAUAUUAAGUCGAUAAACCAUGGGAAUGGCAAAUGUAACCGUCAGAAACAUGAUGUAGAUAUGUCAGUAUACAACAAGAUUCAAACUCUGGAUUAUCAGAAACAUUAAUAAUUAUUGUAAUCAGUUAGACCAAUUAACCCCUUAUGUACUAUAUACACAGAUACAAUCAACAAGAGUAAAUGAAUACACUAGCAGUUAAUACUUCAACCUUUGAUUCAUCUUCAUAUUUAAAAUUCCUUUGAAUACAAGAAAUGAAUCCUCAUGCAUUCAAAAUAUAAAAUAUGAGCUCGUACACCGAUGAUAUAUUAUGUGACUAUGAUAUAUCUACCGCAGACAUUUCUACUAAGGGCGACAAUAACAAACACGAUUCGUAAAAAAAUAUGACACGACACGACACGAUUUUAACACAACAUGUCCAUAUGUCGGGUUAGUGUCUAAAAUUUUGACACGAUUAAUAAUAACAUCAAUUUAGCAUUUACCUCUAAAAACACGACAUGAUUUAUACGAAACGUAAGUUGAUCACGACACGACAUGAUUAUAUAUAUCAUACGAUAACACAAAAAUAUAUUGUUAUUAAUUAACUAUUCGUUUAUAUAAUAAAGGUAAAUAAUAUUUUUAUGUAAAACCUUUUAUGUUUUAUAUAAAAUAUUAUAUUCAUGUAUUUAUAAAAUAAUAGGGGUAAAAUAAUAAAAUAUACAUUUUGAUAAUUAUUAUCAUUAAAAUAAUAGUGUGUUGACACGGAUUCAGUCUUUUUUUUGACACGGAUGAUAUUCGUGUCGAUAAAAAAUUUAGUCAUGUUCGUGUCAUGUUACACGAAUUGUCAGACCUAAAAAUAUCAAAUAACUUUUUUGGUUUUUAUUAAUUGGUUUAUUGCAUUAGAUUUCUAAAAAUUUAAAUAUUCACAAUUUCACAUGUUAUUUUUUACAAUUGUUACUUUAAAAAAAAGACAUACCUAAUACCUGUAAAGGUUAGUUAGCCAGAAUUGGUCAUAGAUACCAUAAUUGAUUCACAUUCUUUAGCAAAAAUUUUGUUAGAUCCUCCUACUCAUCUCCUUUGCCAUUUUCGGAAUCUCGAUCCAUCCGAUACUUUCAGGGCAUCCAUUUUCUCCAACUCCUUCAAGGCUUCAUUCAUCUCUCCCAAUCUACAUAAGUUGUAAAUUAUGGUUAGGUAGGUAACCUUAUCAGGCUUACAACAAUCAUUCUUCUCAUUGUUUUCCAUCUCUCUAAGCAAUUUGAGAGCGGCCUGAGUAUCUCCGACGCAACAAAGACCGUUGAUCAAAGUCGUGUAGGUUAUGACAUUCGGAGAACAACCCAACUCGUCACGCAUCAUCUCAACAAGAACAACAGCUUCGUCAACUCUGUUUAUGGCACACAAACCUUUGAUCAGAGUUGAAUAGGUUACAACAUUCGGAGAACAUCCAAAUUUGCUAUACAUCUUCUCAACAAGAACACUGGCUUCAUCAACUCUGUUUAUGUCACAUAGACCCUUGACCAUUGCAGUGCAGACUAUGGUAUUGGGAUGAUGACCUCUUUUGAGCAUUUCACCAAACACUCCAAAGCCCACUUCGACAGUGCAAGCAUUUUUACUCUUGAAGUAGCCGUUAAUUAGUGUACCAUAUGUGAUCACAUCAGGUGCAAACCCCAUAUGAGGAAGUCUUAAAACUAAAGCUGUUGCUUCGACGAGUUUAUCAACCGUGCAGAGACCAUGGACGAGGGCAUUUAGUGUUUGAACACUGGGUGUGAUACCAAAUUUCAUCAUGCAUCCGAGAAUUGCCAAUCCAGUUCCGAUCUGACCCAUUUUAAUAUAACAAGUGAUUAGUACUAGAUAAGUUACAGCUCCGGGCGUACUUCCCAACUCAGGCAUUGUCUCAAACAGCUUCAUGGCAUCUUUGAUUCUACUGUGCUUACACAACCCAUCAAUCAAACAACUCAAAACAACAACAUUUAGGUUCCAUCCUCUCUUGAUCAAAUCACCCAACACUCCAAACCCCAAAUCCAAACGACCCAAGCGGAAGUAAGUGUCAAUGGCGAUCCCAUGUGUGUAGAUGUCUGGGGAAAGAACAUCAGCACCCAAAGCAGUCUUGUAAAUCCAUAAGACCAACGAAUAAUCUCCCAAUCUCUUCACAUGAGUCAACAAAAUAUUGAAGGACGAAACUGAUGGAGGGGGAUUCGAGCUGAGCAUUAUAUCGAACAGUUUCAAUGCAGCAGUGUUUCCGAAAUUAUGGGACUUGCAUUGGAUCCGUAUGUCUCUCUCUAAUUGAUGAAAAGAGGAAAUGCUCCCAACCUCUCUGGAAAGGAGUGAUCUUUGUGCGAGAUAACGAUAUAGACUUUGUCUUUGUAUGUGAUUAGAUACAGCAGUAAACAGAGAGAUAGGUCUUCUUGGCCGCAAAGAAAAGCUGUGCAUCAGAGCCAUGGUUUAGAAGUGAAAUAGCUUGUAAUGAGACAAACUCACUGCCGUGGCCUGUUGAGAGGGAAUCGCCAAACGCCGGUUGAUCAGUCACUAAGUCGGAAUGUGUUCUGUAAUAUUUGGUGAAAUUUAUACGAAUGGUAAAUUUCUAAUAUUUGGUGUCUUUAAAAUCACAAGAGAAGUUGAUUGGCUCAUCCUAGACCUGAAAAUGUUAUGCCCCUGUAUUCGUUUCUGCUUUUGAAUGUCUAUUCGAAUUCGAAUUUCAGAUUUCAAAUCCGUCGUUAAAAUCCUGAUAAUUUCGAAUUUUAAGAUGAUUAAUUGACUAUUAAUUACCUGUAAUUUUAUACUUUUAAAAUUUUCUAAGUUUUGUAUAAAAAGUUUCUAACGUCUCCAAAAGAACGGAGAAAAAUGGUGUGGAUGCGAGAUGGCGGGUGAGGACAGAAAAAAUGGAGAGGGGGACGGAGGUGAAGAUGGAUAAGUUUCAAAUGAGGGUAAGAGGCAUAAAAAUGGCCAGGUGAGUAAAACAAUGAAAGCAUUUUGGAUACAGACAAUUAUUGAUCCUAGCGUACGAUGGUCUGUCUGAUGUUCUGAAUAAGGUGUGUUGUACAUGUAAGGUUGAAAAAGUGUACUACAAAAAUAAGUGGCUAACAUUCAACCCAUAGGAUUUAAGGGUAGAGAUUCUGCUCUGAAUCAAAUCGACAAUAAAAUAAAAGAGUUGAAUGAGAUAUAUGAGAUGUCCACUUAUGAGGUCAGACACAAUAUCACACUCAGAUCUCGAUGUUUGCAGUUUUCACCAUCUUUUUCAUACUUUUUGUAUCACUAAAUGAUAACAACAAAACAACAACUGUAAUAAAACAAACAAUUAUAACUAUACAAAUUGACUACUACAUAAUUAUAACCAAACGAAAUAAGGGAUGGAAAUAUGAAAUCAUGUAGGUUAAUUAAUCUCACUCAUGAUGACUCAACUGUAUUAUCUAAAAAUGAAAGUAUGUGAUUAAUUAACGACAUGCUGAUAUGAAAAAACAUCAAUGUCAUUCUGCACUUUAGCUCAAUAACUUAACAGGAUCAUACAUUCAUAACCCAACUAUUUCUUCAAUUUAAAAACAUUUUAUAUGUCAGAGAAGGAUCGUCAAAUAUGAUGGAAAUGGAUUAGAACUGGCAAAAAUGACAGGACAAAAAAAUGGUCCUAGUAGAUCCUUGCUAAUUGCUAUCAUCGAUGCCUGAGUCAAUGUUCAUUGGAACAGCGGAAGUGGAAGUGCUGACUUUAUAGUUGGCUAUUGCCUCCACAUAGCGUUUCUUGUCUUUUAGAGCCAUAUCUUCGUAUAUCUUUUUAUCAUCAGCUGUGUCACAAAUAUAAUAAGUAUCCCCACUUGCAAGGAAAUGAUAGCUCAAAUAGGAAGUGGUAGGCAUAAUUGGAGUUAAGGCAUACCUGUAAAUUUCUUCCAUUUCUCACCAAGAAUCCUCCCAAUAUCAGUAAAUGCAAUUCCAGGGUGGCUUUUCUUUACAUUCUGUACAAAAGAGAGCAAAGAUAAAUCACAAAACUAAAUUAUUAUGCCAUUUUUAAACUGUUUGAACCUCUAAGACCUUAAUGUCAUGAACCUUAUAAUUGAUAUUGGAAUUUUUAAACUGUUUUGAAAAAUCAAGAAUAUAAAAUAUUGAAUAUUAGAAGAAAAUAUAGAAAAGUGAAAUGGAACUUACAUCCCUCUCAGUGUUUGAGAAAAACAUAAAAGCAGACAUGGCCCUCUUUGGUGCAUUAGGAUCUUUCUUUUUCUUUUGUCGCUUCUUCUUUGAACCUUCAGCCUCUCCAUCAUCCUUAAUUUUCUUCUUCACUGAGGCUCUAGGCAUAACAACUUCUUUUUUAGGAUCCCUUUUUACAAUGUUCUGGACAAACAAAUCACAAAAUUGUAAAUGAUUGUAUGAAUAAUGCGACAGAUUUAGCCAUUUAGGUAAAGGUGGGGGAAAUCAAAUGUUUUUUUUUUGAGAAAUUAAAUUUUCAUUACUGAAAAGUGGUUGGGCAUAUUCCAAGAUUACAGAAUAUAGGGAAAUGCAAGUACAGUAAAUGUAAAAACAUUGUCUAUCUCUUAUACAACUAUGACGCUGACUAAUUGGACUCCCAUGAGCGUAUAGCUUGUUUUUCAAUCUGUGAAAGAUUGUGUUUCUUAUAGGAUGUAGAAUCAUAUGCAAUGCUCACAUCUUUUAUAAUUUCUCUACUGACAAUUUCUGGGGGUCUUAGGGUGUGUUGUUUUAAUCUCCUAUUCCUUUCACGUCAUAUGUGCCAAGAAAGGGAUGCUAGCAUAGUCCAAUGUACCCCCCAGCAACUGGACUUGUGAGUGAAUUUUUGUAUUGUUUCCAUAAUAUCCCCUAUCCUGAUGUCUAUUGCGGGAGAUGGGGGAUUUUGCCCACUAAGUGUCCAAACAGCAUUAUUAAGGCAGCUAGUGGACUCAAGCAAUAGGGAUCUAGUGUAAUGGCAGUUAAAGUAAAGGUGUUGUAAUGUUUCUUCCUCAUUUCCACAUAGUAGGCAGGACGUAUUUAUGUUGAGUCCCCAGCUUUACAGUCUAGUUAAAGUGUUUAGACUCUUGACUUUAAUUCUCCACAACAACAUGGAGAAUUUGGGAGGCUUUUUGGCCCAGAUCCCUAGAUUUAUCUCUUGUAAGAUGCCUCUAGGCCUUAAUGUUUCUGAGUGCUUGGAGGGGGCAAUUUGUGUGACCCUAUAGUUACUCAGGCAGUUUAUACAUUUCCCUAUUGUUUCCUUAUUAGCUAGUAUUGUUUUCCACAUGUGAGAAUCCAGAGUAGGCCUACACUCUAUUUCCCCAAUGUUUCUUCCUUUGGUGUAUCUAAUUUGUAUCCAGUAUGCUAGUAUGGAGUUAUUAGGACUCCACAUCCUCUCUGUUCUUUUAACCAAUGUUGAAGCAUUAGUUGUAAAGAAAUCCCUGACCCCUAUUCCGCCUUCGUUCUUUGGGAGUGCCAUUUUUUCCCAACUACUUCCUCUGCUUCUCCCGUCCCAGAUGAAGUUAUAAGCUAGGCUCUGAAUCUUUUUAAUAACUGUGCAUGGCAGUGUGGUUCCGUAUGCCCAGUAUUAAAACUUACCUUGUAAGACCAAAUUCACUAAUUGGGUUCUUCCUGCAUAAGACAGACAUCUCCCUUUCCAUCUGGCUAACAUUUUUUCUAUUGAAUUUAUCAACUUCCAACAUGUCGCGUGAGAUUUCUUUCUUCCCGUUAUAGGGAGACCAAGAUAGUUGAUAGGGAGGGAUUUAGUUGGGAAGUUGAGAAUGUUGUGUAGAUAAUGAUCAUUCAUGCAUACUUUUGAGUAGGUUGUUGAACUCUUCUCCUGAUUAAUCUCGAGGCUUGAAAAUUUGGAAAACAUCUCUAGGAUUUUCUUGAUUGUUUCUAGAAACUUGGGAUUUGCCUUUGAGAAGAUCAACACAUCAUCUGCAUAGAUGAGAUGCGAGAUGGAAACUGCUCCAUUCACGAUAUAAGUAUCCAUCCUAUUAUCUUUGAUCUCUUUCUCCAUUAGUCUGCUAAGAUUAUCCAUUACCAGGUCGAAUAAGAUAGGAGAAGACAAUGGGCCCCCCUGCCUGAUUCCUCUAAAAUUAGUGAAGGGGGAAGUGGGGGAUCCCUCAAUCAGUACCGAGAAGGAGGCUGUGGAUAUACAGUUGUGUACCAAUUUGCACAACAAAGGGUUGAAUCCCAUUGCGUCGAGGGUGUGUGUGAUUGCUUGCCAUUUCACUGUAUCGAAAGUCUUUUUGAGAUCGAUACUUAGACAACAUCUUUUGGGAGUUCUAAUUCUCCCGAAGCCAUGUACCAUCUCGUCUGUCAAGAUGGUGUUAUCCGAGAUGUUUCUUCCUGCUAUGAAAGUUGUUUGGUGAGGAGAUAUUAACUCAGAGGAGACCUUGGAGAUUCUGUCAGCCAAAAUUUUGGUGAGCAGUUUGUAAAUUAAGUUGACACAAGAGAUUGGCCUGAAGUCCGAUAGUUCGGUAGCUGUGGGUUUUUAUGGGAUAAGUGUGAUUAGCCGACUUCAAUAUGGGUUUGCCAUUGAAGAAUUGUCUGACACAAGUUAGGAUUGUUUGCUUUAGUUCUGGCCAGAGAGCUUUGAAGAAACCCACUGUGAAACCAUCAAGUCUCGGGGAUUUCCCCAUUUGGAAUGCGAACAAGGUGGAUUUAACUUCCUCUUUUGUGGGUUGUUGAGUCAACCACAUGUUCAUAUCUUGAGAUACAAUCCUAAGGAAAAUAACAAGAGAUGGUAUAUUUGGGAAGGGAGAACUCUUGUAAAUAUCCUUAAAGUAAUCCAUACUCUUUUUUUCUAAUUAGGCUCUUAAGAUGACUACCUCACUACCCUAAAGAAAAUAACAGGAUAUGGUAUAUUUGGGAAGGGAGAACUCUUGUAAAUAUCCUUAAAGUAAUCCAUACUCCUUUUUUCCAAUUAGGCUCUUAAGAUGACUACCCUACCCUCUCCAUUUAUUAAUUUCAGAGUUGAGUUCUUUGCCUUCCUUAUCUUUGUAACAAGACCAUAGUUUAAAAAGCGACGCUUUAAGCGUCGCUUUUUUAGCUUUAAGCGACAAAACGCUCCUCCAGGAGCGCUUUCUCAAUCGCUUUUUCUGGACGGGUUAUCGGGUCGGGUUGGGUUAUUGGGUUGGGGCAACCCAUUACCCAUGUGAAAUAACUUAAACUAUUUUAAUUUCCCUUCCUACCCCUCCAAUUUCUAUCUAACUAUAUAAACCCUAAUUUCCUUUAUCACUCUAAUGAAAUGGAAGAAAUUUUUAGAGAUAAUAUAGAUAUUGGUGCUCGUCUAGAUGAUUAGGUUAUAUGACUUGUAAAUGUUUUUCAAAUAAUUUGGAUGAUGUCUUGAAUAAUUACAGGUUUAUAUAUAUUUUAUGUUUUAUGAUUUUAUCAUAUAUUUACAGGUUCAAAGAAUAUAUAUAUAAACAGGGGGUAUGUAUGCAAUUUUAAAAAAAUUACAUUUAUUUACAAUAAUGCCAUUAUCGCUUUUUCAGCUUUAAGCGCGCUAAAGCGCUCAAAGCUGAAAAAGCGGAACCUGAAAAAGCUGACCGCUUUUCCGCUUUCUGAACUAUGAACAAGACUAAAGAACUUAGUGUUUGAGUCUCCUAAUCUAAGCCAGUUGACCUUGCUCCUCUGUUUUUGGUUAGCCUCCUCUAUUUUGAGUUUAUUGACUAACUCCUCCGGCUUCUUUUUGACCUCUUCUUGGAUAGAAGGGGCUAUUGGACUUGUGUUUAGUUGCGUCAUUAGGGAAUCGAGUUCCUCCCUGGUGGUUGUGAUCUAUUUUGCAUCACUACCCUUGGCCGUCGUCCAUUCCUUUGUGAGUAAUUUGAUCUCUUUUAAUUUCUGUUGUAGGCAAUAUAGUCCAUUGCCGCAGAUUGUUUAGCUAGUCCUCUCCUGGCUAGGUCGAGGAACUCUUGCUCCUUCAACCAUGAAUCGAACAAUCUGAAAGGCUUUGGUUUUUGUGCCAUUUGCGCAAUUGAGAUGAGCAUUGCAGCAUUGUCACUAUGCGAGCCAUUCCAAAACUCUACCCUUAUCUCUGGAAAGAGUGAAAUCCAAUCUUGAUUCGAGAAUGCUCUAUCCAAUCUGGAUUGUACAAACCUAUCCCCUACCUGCUUAUUAUUCCAUGUAAAUUCCCCCCUAUUGAGGGGACCUCGAUUAACUCUGCUAAGUCGGUAACUUCAAUGAAUUCAACAGGCCCUCCAUGAGCAUAAACCCCGGCCCCUGGUCCUCUCCUUUCCUCUGGGGUUCUUAUUUCAUUGAAAUCACCCAACACUAACCAUGGGUGGGAGAUGAUAUUAGGUUGGAUGUCCUUAAUUGUGUUCCACAGCUGUCUCCUACCUUCUCUUGUGUUGUUUGCAUAUACUACUAAGAUAAAAAACACCAAUCUACCCUCGUUGUAUAUCUUAGCAUGAAGUAUUUGCCUGUUCAACAAGAUUGGUACCACCUUCCAUUGGUCUUUUUUCCAUAAAAUCCAGAUUGAGUCUGAAUAUUCUGGAUCCUAUGGGAUGUUGUUUGAAAUUACCUGCCACUCCGAAAAAUUGUCUCUUACUGUUUGGAAUUGUUUGGUUUUAACUCUAGUCUCUAAUAGCGCUACUAUGCAUAAGUUCUUUUAUCACAUUUUUUACUUCAUUCUGGAUUAGAGGGGAGUUAAGCCCUCUAACAUUCCAGGUUAUUAGCGCCAUUGUUUGGGACUAAUGACCUGGCGGUGAUGGGAUGGUUUAGUCUAGUUAAUUGCCCGGGUGGCCUUUGCCACCUCUGCAAUUGGGGAAGAUUUUUUGCUCCAUGAAGCAUUUGAGGAGGUGGGAUAUCCCAUGUACAACCUUCUCUUCCUUAUCCUAGCUUUUCUACUUAGGGAUGGGUUUUGGGGGGUAACCGUCCUGAUCAUUAGGAGUUUGUUGGGCACGGUUCUAAAUACUCCAGGGGGGAGGUCUAUCCUCUUCCUCUUCCCCUUAUUAGUUGUGUAAUUCUUUUGAUUUAGGCCUUUAGUUGGAUCUUGGCUCCCAUUUUUCUUAGGUCUACCUCUUCUUCCCACAUUUAGUUCACCAUUAAAUAUUACCUUAGGUCUGUCUAUAGCAGUUUGGGCUGUAAUAUUCUUCUUGGGCUCCCAGUCCAUCGGAGUAUUUUAAGUAGGGGAUUCUACUGUUUUCCCUUUGUCCUGAAUUAUAUCCUCGCCCUCAUAUAUUGCUUUUUCAGAGGCAGCUCUGUCCUCCCAACUGUGGAGAGAGACCUGCUCUUCGUCCGCUACCCUAAUAAUCCUGUAGGUUGGGGAGACCUCGUUAUCAAGGUCCCCCGAGCUUUUGUGCAUUAGUAGAUUCCAAAAGUUGGAACAAGGCAGACUGUUGUUUGAGGGACUCUUAGGGAAAUCAAAUGAUUGAUCUCUCCAAAGAUAUAAUUCAUUCUACUAUAUACACUUGGAGUAGAUUAACGGAAUAUAACUAUCAUUCUCUUAAGUCUAACCUAAAGAAGAAUCUAGAUGCUAAUUACAUAAAAUGUAAAUGCACAAAAUAUUAUGACUAAUUACAAUUUAGACCAUAAGCUAAUAUUACUAAUAGAUUAGUGUUGGAUAUGUUAGCAACUGUGAAUUACUAAUACAGCCAGAUCAAGCUGAUCUGAUUAGAUCGCACACUGAUAUGAUAAUCAAACAGUAUUCAGCAAUGCUGAAUUGCUCUCACAGAUCUAGAUCACUCACACUCGAGAAAGUGUAAAAAAGUAGAAGAACAAUGAACACACGAUUUUAUAGUGGUUCCACCCAAUGUUGGUGUACCAUUCUUCUUGGUGUAUAUUGAUGGUGUCUAAAGCCCUAUUACAUGCAAAGAUUACAUAAUACAGCCACUACUUAGAUAUAUAGAGUGUAUUAUCUUGGACUGGACUCCAAGAUAAUGACUCCAUAAUUGACCCAUUACGGGUACCAAUUAUAUAUAAACAGUCUCCACACUCUAUAUCUCCUAAUGUGAACCUCAACAGUAUAUCCCAAUCAAAAUCUACUAACACAAUCAUAUUUUAAGCAGAUAAUAUUUAUUUGAAUUUUUAGUAUUCGAUGGAAAAAUCAAUAACAAUAAAAAGAAGAAAAUACUUCUUUUUCUCCUCCACUUUCACUUGCAUCCGAUUCUUCUCCUCCAGAAUCAUCUGUUGGUGAACCUCCAUCAUCUUUCUCAGCAACAAAAUCUUCAUCCUUUAUGCAUGCAAUGAAAAAUUAACCUUAAUUCUUCUCAAUAGUAUAUAAGUUAUAAAAACACUUAAUUUUAAGCAGAUUCUAUAAAAAAGGUUGUACCUCUUCAUCACUUUCUUCUGCCCCAGUUUGAUUUCUAAUUCUCUCAAGAUGCGGAUCAACUGCGUCGUCGUCGUCAUCUGCAAGAACAGCUGCAACACCAUUACUGGUUUGUGCAUCUCCUAUGUGUAGAAUUUUCAAACCCUUAUCUCUGUGUACAUUAACAUGAAUAUGCAAAAAGAUUAUACUACUGAAUACUAUCAUAAAAUAUAUUAAUCAUGAAUAGUAAUGAUCUCACUUCAUGAAUUCAAAUAUCUUAUGAUAUUCAUUUCUCUGAAUGUUCCUGAACGAAUGCUCUUGUUGAUUCUUUAACUUUACAAGUAGAUCAAAGUAAUGAGAUGACAUGCUACUUGAUCCUCCAGCACCAUGCCUCUCAAACUCUACGUAAUCAAUCUGUAUAAAAAAAAUGGUAUUGCAUACUAUGCUUGAUCAUCAUAAAAAUAUAAUUAAGCAAAUACUAAAAUAACUGAACACUUUAAGAACAGUUUUUAUUUAUUUAUUUUAAAGAACAAAUUGCAAGAAAAGCUGUACCUCUUCAUGAAGAAUGAGUGUUGGGGGUUUUGGUAAAAAGAAAAAGCCCUUUUCAAGAGGAUAUAAAAUGCCAUCUUCAGCCUUCAAUGAUGACUUAACUGCAUAACCAUCUUGAGCACUGCGAAACUUCCCAGGUCUAGUAACUUUGGCACCAGAUAAGCCACGUAAUAUCAUUGUAAAAACUUCAUGAAUUAGACCCUGGGAUUUUCAGCGAUUUAUGUUAUGACAGUCCCUUGUUGUUAAUGCUAUUAAUAUGGACUAAAGCACAAAAAAAAAGUUUCGUCUGAUAGAAAGAAUGAAAAAAUAAAGUCCACAAUCAGGCCAAUACAUAUGCUGACUAGAGAAGAUAAAAAACUUCUAACAUGGAUGCAGCCAUGUCGUUGUCCCAUCGUAACCUCUGUACUCAACAUAAUGAAUCGUCUAUCGUAAGAACGUAGAAAAGGAGCAGACAUUGGCUAAGGAUAACCAUCUACUUCUCUUCUUUCACUAGUGGAUUCCGGCUACCCCUUUAUGUCUCACCCAGUCACCACUCACCUAUAUUAUGCAUUGCUCACCUCCAGGUAAACGAUUCAUGGUCCCAGUUUCUAUCCUAGAGUCCGUCUGCUUUGCUGAUUUGGGAAUUAGGACGACCGUCGACGACAAUCUUCCAAGGUACUUAAACUACCCCAACAUCAGUUUCAGACCAAUAUCAAUAAAGGCAACUUGAUGUUUAUGCUAUGCUACGAUAACAAUGCCUACGCUCAUCUUUGCUAAAUAAAAUCCAAAAGAAUGAUUUAUUUGUACCUUAUAAUGUUCCUCUAACUUUCCCUUAUAUUUGGUAGUCAGCUGUUCUUCACUCAUAGACAAACUAGUUUCAACAACAUUAUCUGUUUCAAACUGUAGACAGGAGAGACAUAAAAACGAAUGUAAUUAUGUAAGUGAGAAUUACAAAAAAAACUUACAUGUAGAAAAUGUAAAGAACUAAGCAUUUCACCUGCAUCACAAUAUGAGGAUACAUAGUUUGCCCUUUGCGAAUAGGAGGAUCGAGUGUAAUUACCACAAAAGUAUGAGGCUGAUUGGACUGUAUAAUAAAAGAAAAAGUGAAUAUUGUAUGUUGUUGAACAAUGAAAAUUCUCUAAAAAUAAGCAAUAAAAUGAGUAUUCAGUACAGAAUUGCAAUUAAAAAAUCACAUCCCUUAAAGAAAUUGAGAGAACCUUUGGAAGCAAAAAAAGUCGAACUACACUGCUAUAUUGAAUUUUGAAAUCAUUAGCUUGUCCUUGAAGUCGAAAGAAGGAAAGGUGAAGCUCAACAGUGUAUCUCCCUCUAUAAAAUUAUAAAAGGAAGAAGUUUUAGUUUAAAAUAAAAUAAAACUAUAAAAUUUUACUAUUCUAAUGAAACAAAUAUGAACCAUUGCUAGGUGUGCCCAUGUGAGGACGUAUAAGGGUGAUGCCUUAGUUUCAAAUGAAAGAAUGUAAACCCAAAGAAUUCUAUCAAUCAGAUGAAAAAAGAUGAUUCGUACCUAGGUGUGAGGAUAGCAAUACCGUCAAAAGUAGCAACCGCUUCUUCGCUAGAUGAACCAACAUCUGCCUUCUGUGCAAUUUGUUCCAUUAAAACCUGUUGAGAAGCAUGCCACAAUCCAAAUGUUAAUUUUCUUAUUAAGCACCAAAAAUGUGCAUUGAAUCAAUGUGGGGUAAACACCUGUGCUGAGGUCCUAUUUUCAUCGCCAACAAAUUGAGUGUUUGAAUUGGGCACAUGAAAACACAUAUCCAUCAAUGAAUCUUUCUGAAAUCAUGAUGAAUAAAACAAGCGUAAGAAGAACUGUUAUUACAAAUAUAGUAUCCAAACAUACCAACAAAAUACACCAACGGUGGUAAAAAAUAAUUGCACCUUAUUUUGAUUAUAAUAUACCAACACUAUACGUAACUAAUGUAAGUGGCUAAGCUUAUAGUUCAAAUAUGAUUGCCCUAGUCGAUCGGUACGACUGAACGAGUGAGCUUUUUGAUAGCCAACGCUCAACAGUGGUAUGGAAGAAGGGAAAAUAUAGUGGUUUAUGAUAUUGAAUAAAACACAGACAUGAAUUCUAACCUCAUUAGCUCCAGUUGUGUCAUCUACAUGGAAUUCCAAGAAAACAUCAUUCUUUCCCUGCAACUGUGUUUGUGCAACAUCUGCCAUGGAAACCUCAAACGCAUGUUUCCCAGCUGUCAUGAAUGUCAACAUGUUUCCUAAAUGCAAGAACAAUCCAAAACUUAGUUGAGAGACCAGGUUAUUGAAUAAAUAAAUCUCUUAUCAAAACCAAAUACAAAAAAACCACUCUUAGGAAGUAGGAAGAAAUGCAAUACCGAAGAUGAUAUUUUUUUUAUUAACUCACCAUUUAGUUCGAUCCCUCCCCAAUUCCUCCCACACACAGAAAGUUGCUUCUCUUCCAUGGUUACUCCAAACGAUUUUUCAAUAAAGCUCGUCAAGCUACUUACAUCCUAUUUCAUCAUUAUGAAAGAAAGAGACCGCAAUCAAACACAAAUUCUCUAUAAAACAUAUAACCACAAAGUAAUUCCAAAGAACCUGUUCACGAAAUCCGGUAAACUUAUAACAAAGACCGUCUUUAACCAUGACACCGAGCUGGUACGUCCUAGGAACCUUCAUCCAAGUACAACCAGCAAUAUCCGCCUUAUCAACCUCAAUCACUUUCCCUCCUCCCUGUCUCUUCCAAGCAAUCCCUCCGGAGUGCACUCUCAUCUGUCCCGGUUUCUGCAAAACCAAAAUCCAAAAACCGACUUUGAAAAUCGAAAGGGGAAAAAUCUAGGGUUUUCAAAAGAAUAAACGCGUAGAAAAUGGGGGAAAAAAUCACUUACAGUCCCACCGCGACCGGCGAGUAAGAUGUUUCCAAAUAAAUGUCCGUCCGUCAUCGGAGCUAGUGCGAUCACAGGGGGGAUUUGCGAUCCGUGGAAAACGGGAGAUGGAGGGAACGGUUUUGCUCCUAAUAGCAGACUAACGAGUUAACUACUAACUACUGACAAAAUAGUCAAUUUUAGUCAUUUAAAAAUUUAGAUUUUUGAAAAAUAAAAGUUGAAAAAAUUCACCCAGUAAAAUGUGAAUCUUUAAAAUAUGAUUCCAGAAAAUAAAAAUGCAAAUGGGUAACAAAUCAAAGAAAACAAAAAUGGGAAAAAUCUAAGACUAACAUCAACAAACAAGAACAAGAUAGAAUCUUGUGCUGCUGUAGAUUUAUAUCGAAGAGAUGGGUAACCUUGUGCUAGAAUAGAUAAAGUUCGCCGGAAUCUCUAAAGGAGUUCGUCGGCGCACCUAAAGAUUGACUGUUAGUUGGAGGAGGAGAGGAGGCUAGGGUUCGCAAGAUAAUGAAUGGGGGAAGAAGAUGAUUUUUACAUAUGAUUUUAAUUUUCCUCAAAUUUUCCCAAAUUGCAUAAAUUUCCCUCAUAAAUUUAUAAAAUUAUGAAGAAGGGAGGGAAGAUGAAAGAGGAAAAAUUAUGACAUUAUCUAUUUAUUUUUAAUUUUUUUUUAUAAAAUUGUCCAGGUUUUUGGUGGUCAAAUCGGGUGGAGUGGGUGAAAAAUCCAUCCGAACCCGUACCUGAUCCUCAGGUUCAGGUCUUCACCUGACCCAUGGCCACCCUACCCUUACCCACCAUAUAUUAACUAAAAUUAAAUUAAGUGAUAUCUAUGAGUGAUAAUAUAGUUAGAGUGUUAUGGUAGUUAGUGAAUUAGUUGAGAUUUUGUGUUAUAAAUAUACAGGGCCAGCUUCAGGUAAGAACCUCAUCUGUGAGAAUCCAGUGAGAACUUUAAAUCUUAACCCUACAUCUACAUCCAAUGGUUAGGAAUAGAGUGAUUAUUUAAAUUAUUUUUGGUGGAAGAUCCCAAUGCAAUAUAUUCUUUUAUUAUUAAUAAUCUAGUACAUCCUUUUGUCCAAAAAUUUUUUCCACCAUUCACAUUUACUUCUCUCUCCUACUUUUCACCUACUUCUUCACUUUUUUUUUCCCUUUUCUCUCACUUCCGUUUUUUCCCCUUCCUUCAUCCCCUUCUCAAACCCUAUUUCCUCCAUUUCCUUACCUCUAGUGACUUCUACCAUUUUUAUCAAUCUCUCCAUCCUCUCUAAAAAAAUGGUCAUCGGUUCUCCACUAACAUCUGCUCAGGUAUGUUUUCGCGUUUUCCCCCAAAUUUUUCCUUUCUCAUAUAGUUACAUUUAGUUAUUUUCAGCAAUUGGGUUUGCACUAUUUCUAUUCAUCACUUUUUCUUAGUCUACAGUACAUAGUGCACUACACACAGUAAUAGUGCACUGUCAAUAUUCGAUCCUCACAUUCGCUGACACAUCGUACGAAGUACAGUGAUGUGGUGAACAGUGAUUUCUUAUAACAUAGUCUAUCGUCAUCGCGUAGUACAUAGUACAUAGUGCAUAGUUCAUUAGAUGCUAAUAGUUCAUGUCCCAGACAUUCAAUAUUAUUACGUGCUACCUAAUACUACUAGGAUUUACUUACCUACACUCUCGAUCAUUGCAUCCAGCCAUCGUCCGUAUUACCAUAGUGCAUAGUGCAUAGUUCAUAAUUCAUAUCCCAUUGAAAUAGUGCAUGUCCGGCAAUUUACACAUUCUAUAUCUUGCCAUUCUUCCUAAUAACUACUAAGAUUUGCCAAACUUCACUCUAGAUCAUAUUGCAUAUUACAUAGUGCACAGUGCAUAGUAAAUAGUGCAUAGUACAUUGUAGACAUUACUCACAAUACAACUGAUCAACUGCUGUCACAUAAUGUUUAUCAGGAUCAUAUUCACUCGGUACCAAACACGGAAACAAUUGGAUCCUCUCGUACACCAUAUAUUCCCGAGCUCGGCCAACAAAACAGAGAGAUUCUUUUCCAAUAGAAUGCUCAAUGUUCCAAAACAAAGAUCAUGCUCUAAAUGUGGAAUCAAGGGACAUGACAAACGAUCAUGUCCAACAAAAGAUCAAUUUUCUCAACAAGAGUGAGUAGGAGCCAUAGAAUCGCAUGUAAUAUGGACAUCUUAAUUUGCAAAUAGAUGUGAUUUCAACAUUCUAUUAAAUGACAUCUAGAUUUUCAAUUGUAGCAAAACAAUUUAGAUACUCCAUGUUCUAGGAAUACAUUAUAAUCCUACUUACAAAUCAACUAUUCAAAAAAACCUAGUACGCUAACAUAUAAUCAAAAAUUUAGACAGUAUUUAAUUCUCAAUCAUCAAAAUUUGUCAUCAUACGAAUUCCAUCUAACAAAGACCAUUUGGCUGCAUUCAAAUCUUUGUUCAAUCCAUAUCCAACACGACCUAAGGCAAACGCCUAGUGACACGGAUGUUCGCAUGCCCAAACUCACGAUCCAUUUCAUCUCUGGCACGAGCAUCCACGUUACGUUGAUGUCCUUCGCCGUGAACUGGAUCUGCCAUGCACUCCGGGCAAAAGCAUGGAACAUCAUACUGCUCUACACGAUCUAUGACACACAAUGGUUAGUCGGUUAGAUCAUUCACUAAGAAGGAAAUUAUAUAUACAGCAUACAUACCAAAAAUGAGGAAAGUUCAUAGUACAUAGUGCAUAGUGCACCCCAGUGAGGAUAGUACAUAGUGCAUAGUGCAAAACAAAUAAAUAUAGUGCAUAGUGCAAAAAACAUAGUGCAUAGUCCAAAACAAAUAAAUAUAGUACAUAGUGCAAAAAACAUAGUGCAUAGUGCAAAAAAAAAAAGCCAUAAUUGCAAUAAAUCAGCCCAUAACUUACCACUACUACGAGAAAUUCCAGUUCCAGAUCUUUUCUUCUGGGCCUUCUUCUUGAACAGCGAUCUGCAGAUGAUAUAUAUUGGGAAAAAACCAUCAGUAAUUAAUUAAAAGAAAAUUGGAAAGUAACUGGUUUAGUUAAAUAAAUCGUCCACAAAUUGGAGAAAAUAAUAAACCAUUUUUGACAUAGUGCAUAGUACAUAUUUCGUAAUGCCCGAUUUCUAUAAUGUCCAUAACCAACUUAACGAAUAAAUACUAUCAUUUGGACCCUAAGGACAAAAGGAACAAAACUAUACUCCUCAAUUAGUUAAGAAUUCUAUAGAAAAACAACUCCAGCAGGGAGACAGUGAUUUAGACAAAUCCAACAUUUAGUCACUAGUAUUAGCAAAUGUUGGUACCAUGGACCGCGGACCGCGGCCCAUGGACCGAACCGGCCCGGCCGGCCUAGACGGACGGGCGGGGCCGACGGCGCGAGCCCACGAGGCCCAACGACAGCAAGUGAAGGCUAUAAAUACCUCCCCUGGUCCAACUGGGGGAGGGGUUGAUAAUUCUGAGAGAGAGACUUGUACUAGGUUGAUAGUGAGCUAGCUCCGGCGAACCCUCACACCAACAGUGGUGAACCUGACGUGAACCGAACACAUGACGGCCGGAGAGAGGAGGAUGACGCGGAGCGAAUACCAAGUAGGGGAGAGCUCUAAGCGGGCGGCGGAGGAGUACCAGCCGGCACGACAUCACUCUCGCGACCGGUAUUCGGAGGAAGUAAGGGCCAACGAGGAAUGGGACGACGAGGAUAGACUGCGCAUGGAGCUCGAGGAAAUCAGGUACGGGUGGGAGUCACCCAAGAGGCGCCGGCACAGAGAACCGGCGUCCCCACCCAAGGUCAGGAGAACGCGGUCCCGGUCGCGGUCCCGGGAGAGAAGGGAAAGGGAGCACGAGAGGCUCCGGCGAAGGGAACGCGCGGAGGAGAAAGAGCGCGCGGAAAAAGAGAGGAUGCAGCUCGUGGAGCUGAUAUCUACCCUGCAGGAGAGCCAGCGUCAGCUACAAGAGCAAGUUCACCAGCUUACAGUGACCCCACAUACCCUGGAGUCGGACGGGGGCGGAGGGGGGGAUCCCAUGUACGGACCGCCCGCCCCCCCGGAGGGAAGACUAGGCAGCGACGCCCCACCCGUGGAGGCCCCGCGAACCAUGGUGGCAACAACGUCGGGAGGGAGCAGCUGGGAGGCCCUAGCGCAGCACCUGCUAGACGAAGAAUACCCGCCAGGCUGGAGAGCCCCGAAGAUCCCUUACUACAAGGGCNNNNNNNNNNNNNNNNNNNNNNNNNNNNNNNNNNNNNNNNNNNNNNNNNNNNNNNNNNNNNNNNNNNNNNNNNNNNNNNNNNNNNNNNNNNNNNNNNNNNNNNNNNNNNNNNNNNNNNNNNNNNNNNNNNNNNNNNNNNNNNNNNNNNNNNNNNNNNNNNNNNNNNNNNNNNNNNNNNNNNNNNNNNNNNNNNNNNNNNNNNNNNNNNNNNNNNNNNNNNNNNNNNNNNNNNNNNNNNNNNNNNNNNNNNNNNNNNNNNNNNNNNNNNNNNNNNNNNNNNNNNNNNNNNNNNNNNNNNNNNNNNNNNNNNNNNNNNNNNNNNNNNNNNNNNNNNNNNNNNNNNNNNNNNNNNNNNNNNNNNNNNNNNNNNNNNNNNNNNNNNNNNNNNNNNNNNNNNNNNNNNNNNNNNNNNNNNNNNNNNNNNNNNNNNNNNNNNNNNNNNNNNNNNNNNNNNNNNNNNNNNNNNNNNNNNNNNNNNCUCUGGCCCACGUUUUUCGCGGGUGACUUAGUGAGGAAGCCACCGAAAACCUUCGCCGAGGCCAUGGAGAGGUCCCACGGAGAAAGCAAUGUGGAGGAUUACCUGGGCGCGAAGAUCCAGGAAUACAGGCAGCAGCAGAGGGGGAAGGGCGCCCCCGCAGGCGCGGGGGGAGGGCAGCAGCAGAGCCAACCUCAACCCCAACAAACGCAAGCCAAGCCCCCAGCGGCGCCACAGGCGCCGGUGUACAGAACCGGCACCCCGGCAACAGCGGGACGGAGGGAGGCAGGCCCCGCCCCGGCGGCAAACCAAAGACAGGUUUUCCUAACGUUGAGCGGAACAGGAACCCUACCUCUGCCGAGACCAAUGAGAAAGGACACGGCGGCGUUCAGGGACACCCGUCGGUUUUGCGAAUAUCACGAGGACAACGGCCACACGACGGCCGAAUGCCUAAACCUAGCGAAGGUCCUCAGCAAAAUGAAGCCCGCGAACGGAGCCNNNNNNNNNNNNNNNNNNNNNNNNNNNNNNNNNNNNNNNNNNNNNNNNNNNNNNNNNNNNNNNNNNNNNNNNNNNNNNNNNNNNNNNNNNNNNNNNNNNNGAAGCAGGAGCCAGCGGACGAGACCAUAGGGGACAUCCUCACCAUCGCAGGGGGCGAAGCCUCGAGAGGCGACGACCCGUGGGAGGGACGGCGGUACGCGUCUGACGUGGACCGGGCAGCAGGGGCCAAGCGCCCGCGAAUAAACCUGGAUAUCUCGUUCACGGAGGAUGACAUGAAGGAUAUCACCACGCCCCACGACGAUCCCCUGGUCAUAACCCCCAUCUUUCAAAGGGAAGACAAGUCCAGCGUGCGACUGCACAGGGUCCUGGUGGACACGGGGGCGUCGGUGGACAUACUGUACUGGAACGCCUUCGUCGACCUCGGCUUGGCCCGAGCGGACCUACUUCCAUGUCGGGCCCCCAUCAGAGGAUUCGGUCAGUCAGAGGUCCCAGUAGCGGGAACGUUUGCCCUCCCGGUCACCCUGGGACGGCAUGCCCAAGCCAAGACGGUCGAGGUCAUGUUUACGGUCGUCAACUUCACAUCGGGAUACAAUGCCAUCCUGGGAAGGACGGCGCUGCACGCCUUCCAGGCGGUGAUGUCAUCACUCCAUCAGUGCCUCAAGUUCCCAACCGAGGCAGGGGUGUGUACGGUCCGGGGAUCCCAGAAGAAGGCGUGCGAAUGCUACUUCAAUUCGGUCGGUGAAGUAAUGACGUCGGACGAAGGCCUACCCCACUCGAUGCGGGAACGCACGGCAAGACCCGAACCGGCAUCCCACACGACCCAAGUGGCCCUCGGGCGGGACGAAGUACGAAUGGGAAAGAACCUCCCACAGAACAUCAGGGAGGGUCUAGAGCAGCUCCUGAGAAAGAACGAAGACCUGUUCGCUUGCGAGUUGGGGGAGUUGGGCGGCGUACCCAGGAAGCUGGCGGAGCACAGACUGGCGGUAGCCCCGGACGCCCACCCCGUCAGGCAAAAAUUACGCCCGCUAAGGGCGGAAAAAAGGGAGGCGUCCGAGCUGGAGGUCAGGAAGCUCCUCCAAGCGGGGUUCAUUCGUCCAGUACGCUAUCCCGCCUGGCUGUCCAACGUGGUGAUGGUAAGGAAAACAGACUCGGGGUGGAGGAUGUGCGUCGAUUUCACCAACCUGAACAAAACAUGCCCCAAGGACAGCUACCCACUGCCGUCGGUGGACCGGCUGGUAGACUAGAGUUCCGGGUGCGGGAUGCUGAGUUUCAGGGACGCACACUCGGGGUACAACCAAGUGCCCAUGGCACGGGAGGACGAGGAGAAGACGUCGUUCAUCACAGAGAUGGGCACGUUUUGCUUCAGAGUAAUGUCGUUCGGCCUGCGCAACGCCGGGGCGACGUUCCAGAGGCUAAUGGAUAAAAUAUUCAAGGCGCAGAUAGGAAGGAACAUAGAAGUGUACGUGGACGAUAUACUCGUCCGAUCAAAGGAGGCUGAAACGCACUUGGCCGACCUAGAAGAAACCUUCGCCAACAUCCGUAGCGCAGGACUCAAGCUAAAAGCGAAAAAGUGCGCGUUCGGAGUCAAGGAGGGGCAUUUUCUCGGUUUCCGAAUCACACCCGAAGGAAUCAAGCCAAGGGAAGAGAAGGUGGAGGCCGUGAUGGCCAUGAACCCCCCGCGGACGCUGAAGGAGGUCCAGAAGCUGAAUGGAAGGGUGGCGGCGCUGAGCAGAUUUCUGCCAAGGACGGCAGAUCGUUUGAAACCUUUCUUCCAGUUGUUAAGGAACCCGGGACCCAGGGUGGUAUGGUCAGACGAAUGCGAGACGGCGUUCAGAGAACUCAAGCGCCAGCUUUCGAGCCUGCCGACGCUCCGCCCACCAACAAGAGGAGAGCCACUCACCAUGUACGUAGCGUGCUCGGGGGCGGCCGUCAGCGCAGUCCUCAUCUCAGAAGCGGGAGGCACGCAAAGGCCGGUAUACUACCACUCCCGUUCGUUAGUAGGAGCGGAAGAGAGAUAUCCGGAAAUCGAGAAGCUAGCCCUGGCGGUGGUGUCGGCGGUCCGAAGGCUGAAACCGUACUUUCACGCUCACACGGUCACGAUCCCAACGGGUUACCCACUACUGCAACUGCUGCAGAAGCCGGACGUUUCGGGAAGACUAACCAAGUGGGCCAUGGAACUCAGCGAAUUCCACCUAGUAAUCGUGUCAGCAAGGGCAAUUAAGGGACAGGCGGUGGCGGACUUCAUGGCUGAAUUGGCCCUAAGGGAAGGCGAGGAGGCAGACGAACAGUGGUGGACGGCCCACGUGGACGGAUCGUCCAGCAAUAGUGGAUGCGGCGCAGGGGUCGUGGUCACGUCCCCGACAGGAGAGAAAAUCGAGUACUCGAUCCACUUCGAAUUCCGGGCGACCAACAAUGCAGCAGAGUACGAAGCCCUCCUCUCGGGGAUCAGGCUAACUCGCGCACUAGGCGCGUCCAAGGUGCACUUCCACACGGACUCCCGGCUCGUAGCCAACCAAGUCAGGGGAGACUUCGUAUCCAAGGCAGACUCUAUGGCGAGCUAUGUGACCGAGACGAGAGCGGCCUUGGGCAAGCUCAAAGAAUGGAGGAUCUCCCAAAUAGGGAGAAAACACAAUGGGGAGGCCGACACACUGGCCAAACUGGGGGCGUCCUCAGGAAAAAAGGAGGGAAGGUGGAUCCGGAUUGAAAACCAGGAACGACCGACGACGACCAGCGACCGCGGACCAGCCAGAGCGUGCGGAGUAAUAACGUCGGGGGACUGGAGAACGCCGAUCACGAGGUUCAUCAUGGCAGGCGAAGCGCCGACAGACCCAAUGGAGGCCAGGAAGCUAAGGAACAGGGCGGCCUGGUUUAUAGUAGCCCAGGACAAGCUGUACCGACGGUCGGCAGCAGAGGAGGCCCCCCUGCGACUAUGCGUCCCACGUGAGGAGGGGAAGGCCAUCGCACGAAGCCUACACGAGGGGGCAAGCGGAGCGCACCAAGGCGGCAGAGCGCUGGAGAAGCAAGUAGCCAGGCAAGGGUAUUACUGGCCCGAGUCAAUAAAGGACUCAGAGGAGAUUGUCGGUCGAUGCGACGUGUGCCAGAGGCAUUCGAACGUCCAAAGACGGCCAUCCACCAUGAUGAAGGCCGUAACGACACCAGUGCCAUUCGCAAGAUAGGGAAUUGAUAUAGUAGGACCGUUCCCGCCUGCAUCAAGAGGAAGGAAGUUCCUGUUCGUAGCGGUCGACUACUUCACAAAGUGGGCCGAAGCAGAGGCUACGAAUACGAUCAGCGAACAGAAUGUGCUGAACUUUGUCUUCACGAACAUCAUCUGCCGGUUUGGGGUCCCGAUCCAGAUAAUAACGGACAACGGGACGCAGUUCACGGGAAAGAAGUUAAGAGAGUUCUACGAAGACAGCGGGAUCAAGUUAAGCUUCGCACCAGUCUACUACCCGCAGGCAAACGGGCAGGUAGAGGUGACGAACCGAACAAUAACAUCAAUCCUAAAAAGGAAGGUAGGCGAACACCCAGGAAACUGGGCGGACCUAGUCCCGGAAACCAUGUGGGCGUAUCGCACGACCAUCAGGACGCCCACGGGGCAAACCCCUUUCGCCCUCGCGUUCGGGAUGGAUGCGGUAGCACCAGCCGAAUUGGUAUGGCCAACCGCGCGCAUCGAGCAGUUCCAGCCGGGCACGAACGACCAGGCAAUGUUUCUGGAAAGGGAACACUUAGAGGGCCGGAGAGAGGAGGCGUCCAUCAGGGAUCUCACGUACAAGCGAAGGGUAGCAAGGUACCACAACGAAAGAGUAGCCGACAAGAAUUUAGCGCCAGGAGACUUGGUGUUGAGAAAUGCCAAGGUAACGGGAGUCGAUCAGACAAAGGGGAAGUUAUCACCAAAAUGGGAGGGCCCGUACGUCAUCACGGACGAGAUCCAGCCCGACAUCUUUCGCCUGGGGUACGAGGAUGGGCAGGAGAUAGAAAGGACGUGGCAUGCCGACAACUUGGAAAAGUAUAGACGGUAAAGCGGAACGCGCGCGAAACACUACUCCCCCCUAUUGUAUCUUGUUUAACGUCGGGCGCCCCCCGACCACGGCACGUGAUGCCCAAUAAAAAGCACCCGGAGUGCAUCCAUUAAAAGUAUUAAGGUAAAGGAAACGGGGUAGCCCGCCGAAAAGGCCGGCGGAGAGGUCUUGAGGUCAGACGACCACGUGAGACAAUCCGCACGGCCCAGGCCGUUCCCCCGGGCAAACGAAAGCUGGAGAAGCCCGUCGAAAAGGCUGGCGGAAAAGUCUCAAGGUCAGACGACCACACGAGACAAUCCGCACGGCCCAGACCGCUUCCCCAAGAAAACGCAAAUCGGAGAAGCCCGCCGAAAAGGCCAACGGAAGGUCCCCGGGGCCGAGAGGCCACACGGGAACGUCCGAAGGGCCCAGGCCGCUUCUCCGAAACAAACGAUUGAAAGGUAAACGGGGGAGCGAAAGCUAGAGGAAGAAGGAAACGACCGACGAUCAAGCAAAAAGUGAAAGAAAAUAAACAAAAAAGCGAAAAAAAAGCUAAGUGUUAUUACAAUAGAAGAACAAUUGUUUUUUCCAAAAAAAAGAAAACAUUCACUACGGCCGACUAGUCAAGGGAAGGGUCCACGUAGUCAGGGAAAUCGGCCUCAAGGUCCUGCUCUUUGCUGUCGCUCACAUCCACGGGAGGCUGAUAGGUGGGGACGCCCGUCUCUCUCCAACCGGCCCACUCAUUACGGCUCCGAGGCACGACGGCGCGCGACAGGGGCGGGUAAACAAGCGAACACAUCUCGCGUCCGUGCACGUAACCCUUCCAGAAGCCACCGCGUUUGGAGUCCGCCACCAGGGCGGCGUGGUCCCUCUUCAGAUCAGCCAAACGGUCCUCGAAGUCGGGAAGAAAGGCCUUGACAAAGGCGGCCUGAGCGUCCUUCGCAAUUUGCUCCGCGGCAGCAGCCCGAGUCUUCUCUUCCUCCGCAGCCCGGCACACGUGGUCACGCUCACGCUUGACCGCGUCCAGCUCGGUCCUCACGGCAUCAAGGUCGGUCCGCACGACAUCAAGGUUGGCCCUCGAGGCAUCAAGGUCGGCCCUCGAAGCGGCAAGGUCGAGGUCGGCCCUUUGACGCCGAAGCUCCCCGUCCAGCUCAGCGCCCUGUUCCAGCCGAACCUGGGAGAGGACCGAAAGUUGCAGCAGGUGAUGGUGCAGAUCGAGGUCGACGGCCGAAGGAGGACAGGCGCGCAGUCGAACGUAUUCAUCCUCGGGCAUCAUCAAGGAACGAGCGUCCGCAAGUUUUUGCUUAAGGAUCCCACCAAGGCGUGGCAAGAGGGUCACGGGAUCGAUGGGGGCGGCGCAGCCGUCGAGCGUCCUCUGAAGAUCCUUCAUGACAGUCUUGAGGGGCUCGGCAUCAAAAAACCCGCCUUCCGACCCGGACGCAAAGAGGUGGUCAAAGGCCCCGACGGGCGGAAGGCUAGAGUGGCUGGCUCCGGGGCUGUUUUCAGAGGCGUCCAAGUCCUCAACAUGGACCGACUCCAGGGAGGCGACGACCGACUUUCGUUUCUCGGCCCGAGUCUUUUUUCUUUGUCGUCGGUCGGACCGGCUGUCUCGAAGGGGGACGUCCGUGGCACCAGGAGCGGAAGAAGCAUCAGGCCCGGCCUCGAGAGUGGCGAUGGGAGGUGAAGUAAUGGGAGUCUCGAACCGAACUUCGUCGACCGGCCUCUUCUUCGUACGUCGAGGCGGGCCGUCCCGAAAAUAGGGCGUCCUCAUAGGCAAAUUUAGGUGGUCGUCGUAGGUCCAGGUGGAGGCCAGCGUCCGGGCGUUGACGGGCCCAUGGCGAUAAAUCUCGAUGAGAACGUCGUGGGUGAGAGCGGCCAUGGGCUCCAAGCUGUCUCGAGGAGGAGCGGCGGUCCUAGUCUUCAGGGACGUCAACAGAGCCCAGCGCCUGGGGACGUUCACGCCCGACUCCGACGUCUCAAGGGUGCUGACGGGGACGAAGAAGAAGCGGUCCCGCCAGUGGUGAGACCGGUCGACCAGCUGGUCGAAGAGGGCGCCGCUGGAUCGUUGAGCGAUUAACACACGGCGGGGGUCGGUGGUCAUGGCGGUCAUCGUAAACCACGUCAGGAAGACCGGUAGAGAGACGUGGCAGCUGGCGCGGCGCAAGAGAAGGUCGAAAAUCACCAGGCNNNNNNNNNNNNNNNNNNNNNNNNNNNNNNNNNNNNNNNNNNNNNNNNNNNNNNNNNNNNNNNNNNNNNNNNNNNNNNNNNNNNNNNNNNNNNNNNNNNNNNNNNNNNNNNNNNNNNNNNNNNNNNNNNNNNNNNNNNNNNNNNNNNNNNNNNNNNNNNNNNNNNNNNNNNNNNNNNNNNNNNNNNNNNNNNNNNNNNNNNNNNNNNNNNNNNNNNNNNNNNNNNNNNNNNNNNNNNNNNNNNNNNNNNNNNNNNNNNNNNNNNNNNNNNNNNNNNNNNNNNNNNNNNNNNNNNNNNNNNNNNNNNNNNNNNNNNNNNNNNNNNNNNNNNNNNNNNNNNNNNNNNNNNNNNNNNNNNNNNNNNNNNNNNNNNNNNNNNNNNNNNNNNNNNNNNNNNNNNNNNNNNNNNNNNNNNNNNNNNNNNNNNNNNNNNNNNNNNNNNNNNNNNNNNNNNNNNNNNNNNNNNNNNNNNNNNNNNNNNNNNNNNNNNNNNNNNNNNNNNNNNNNNNNNNNNNNNNNNNNNNNNNNNNNNNNNNNNNNNNNNNNNNNNGCAGUCGACGAGGCGGGGGAGAAGCGCCCGUCGUAGGCUCGGCGGUGUCCAACGACCGAACGAUGUAGGAAGAGCGUGGUGGGGGAGUCCAGACGGGCCCACAGGCAGACCCCACCAACGAAACGACGUAACGAGCCGACACCCGAGUCGGCGAUAGAGGGACCCGGCGCGAUGGACGGGGGCAGAGCUCGAGAAGGAUGCGGGCAACGUCGACAGAAGACGCCGAGAAGCGCGAAUCUGCACGGACGUGCGAAGACAGUCAAAACGAAAGAAGAAGAAAAAACGAAGGCAUUUUUCAUUAAAUUAAACCAAGUGUUACAAACGGCCGGUGGCACGGCGGGAAAAAGUACACAACGCACAACAAUAGCUAAGUCCAGAUAUAAAAAAGAAAUAGGAGAGAAGAAGAACGAGGCGCGCCCCAGACGUCGUCCCGUGAAGGCAGACCCACGGCCCGGAUGAACGUGGUCGCGGUCGCGGACGUCCCCUAGACGGGCUUAAGGGGCUGGCUUCGAGGAUCCCGACAGGAAGUGACGCAGGUCAUUGGCCGGAAGGAACGAAGACCCGCGGGAACGACGAGGGCCACGCGGCCGACGACGCCUUGGAGGAGGAGCGGGGUCGGCGACAGCAGCGGGGGCGACGAUCGUACCUUGCGCGCGGAAAGCACGCGAGGUGCCAGCAGAACCCGAGGUGUCAGGGUAGGUGACGGGAGGAAGUUCCGCGAUAAUGUCGGAGCGGCGAAUCUGGGAGAGGCGACGGUGGACGUCGAUCAACACGGCAUUGAGGCGCUGAGUCUCGGCCACGGCGACACUAUUGGGAACACCAGUAGGCGACAGCAGGCACU